Molecule: long non-coding RNA, 2936 nt
Organism: Meriones unguiculatus (Mongolian gerbil)
Lineage: Eukaryota; Metazoa; Chordata; Mammalia; Rodentia; Muridae
Exons: 3
Source: RefSeq, a predicted model, not a curated record
ACGGCAUUUAAACUAGGCUUGCAACCGCAUUAGAGCUGGAUGUUUCAUCUGUUUGCAUGCCUGUUCACCACGUGCAUGAAGUCCCUGCAGAGGCCAGAAGAGAGCAUCACACAACUUUGAAAAUCAGUUACAGGAGGAGCCAACCUUGUAAAUACCUUGACUUUGGACUUCUGGCUUCCAGAACAUGGAGAUUUUAAGUCUAUUCUUAAGUCCCAAAGAUUUCAGUGACUUGUUACUCAGUCAUGAGAAAUGAUUAUACCAAACAUCCCAGAUCACUUGGAAAACUUCAGCAGUAGAGUUCAGAAUAGGAGACUGGCUCUAACAGAGAGCCCAUCUUCGGGCAUGGCAUCCUCACUUCUAUACAUCAUCCUACCACCUGACUGUGCUGGCAUCAUGAAGAGCAGGAAGGAAAAGACAGGGGCAGCCAGAGCUUAAAGAUCAUCACCCUGGUGUGGACAGAUCCAAGCUGAGCCUUUGUUCCAGGUUUUAGCUUCAGUGAAAGAGCUUCAGGUCACAAAUGUUAACCAACCAAAGGAUCAGAAGGGCAUAUCAAGGGUUGAACAUGCAUUGUGCCAGGCAGUUUUUGUGUUAGGACAUUUUUAUCCUCAUGGCUAACAUCAAAGGUCAUUGUGAUUCCCACCAUGUUAAGGAUGAGAGAACUGAGAUGACAAAAAUCAAGUCACUGGCUGAGGUGCCUAGCAGGAAAGUGAAGCAGGCAGGCUACCCAGAAGCCAUAAGCUGGAGAAUCAGGAAAUGGGAGCCUAUUGAGUCACCAUGAAGAGUCAUACAGCUGUGCUGACUUCUUCCAGGCCUGUGUCCACUCCAUCUGUUGUGGUUUGAAAUUCUCCUUCAACUUUCCUUCUCCUGUAAACUGAGAAGGAUGAUGGCCAAAUCAGCAACACAGAAAAUCACCAUCGUUUGCGUAUGUUAGACUGUUUCUGCACUGUGACAGAACACAUGAGACAGUCAAAUUAAAAGAUGAAAGGUUUUGGUUAAGAGUUUCAGAGACUUCAACCUAUGAUGCCUGGCUCCAUUGCCUUAGGCCUGUCACAAGGAAAAAAUAGCAUGGCCUAAAGCAAAAGAAAGCUGCUUACCUCCAAGAGGCCAGCAAAGAGAAAGAGAUCCAAACCAAGGUAUGUCUUCCAGAAACACACCACCAAUGAUCUACUUCCUCCAAUCAGGCCCUGCCUCCUACUUUUACCACCUCCUAUUAACGCCAUCAUGGUGUGAAUCCCCAGAUGGAUUAGGCUGUGCAUGAAAUGCCACCUGACUCGCGAUCCAAUAAUCUCUCAGUAGCGCCAUCUGGGAACCAAACUAUCUACACAGGAGCCUCCUGGGACACACUCCCUCUCCAAGCCAUGAGCAGGAUGACUGGGGCACCUUCAGACAGACACUUACUUAUAAGAAUGUUUGAAAAUAGAUUAUUUCUGAUAAGUCACACAAUCUUGAACUUAAUAAUAUCCCAGGACUGGAGAGAAGAUGGUUCAACAGACAAGAACGGAUAAAAACUGGAGUUCAGAGCUCAGGACCCAUGUAACAAACUAGGUAUCCCCAACAAAAUACCUGCAAAUCCAGAUUUUAUGGGAGGUGGAAGUAAGAGGAAUGCUGAGGGGUUCUGGCUUCCAUCCCUGCAAGUAUGAGAGCCACAGUUCAGAGAGAGACCCUGCCCCAAAGGAAUAGAGAGAGAGUUAUAAAAGAGGACACCUGACACCCUCCUCUGGCCUUGGAGUAUGCUCACACACGAGCGUGCGCACGCGCACACACACACACACACAUGCACCAACCUAUACACACAUACACUCACAUAUACUGUACACGUGCAUACACUCACAUAAACAUAUACACAAAUUAAUAAAAUAAAUUUUAAAAAUUAUGUAGGUGCUAAGGGGUAUUUGGGGGGAAAAAGGCAUUUUCUUCAGUUGUGUAGCCACUGGUAAGUUGCCCUGGCUCUUGUAAAUAGCCUUUCACCCAUUCUGCUAAUAAGAAACCCUAAGAAAAUUCAUUGGGUCUCCCUGCCCUCCAAAUAAGAUGAAAGUAAAAUGGGACUAACUGUGAAGAGGAGGGGGUCAUUUGGGAGCAUGAGAGGGACAAGAGAGGAUAAUGGCUGGUCAAGUCUAUCAAAAUACAUUACAUCCAUACAGGCAAAUAUCAUAAUAAGAUCAAUUCUUAUUUGUAAUUAAUAAAAGCUAAUAAAACAUUUUUAAAAUUCUAAACGAAUAUUUUCAGACUUACCUGUGAGUUUGACUGUUUUCUAUAAUUCAUCCUGCUAGCUGCAGAUCAGAGAUCGAAGGAGGAGCCUCAGUGUUCACUCUGACAACAGGCAAGGUGGGACAUUUGUUUUUGUUUUUGUUUUUUCACACAUUGAUCAAGCUCAUCAAACUUAUCAUGCAUUUUUCAUCUUUGGUUUUACUUCAUCCAAUUUUAAGACAGGUUAAAGAAGUUAGAGGCACACUGAGCUGAGGUUGGUUGUGACCUUCACUGCAGAAUCCCCCAGAGAGACUUUAUUAGGGACUUGGCUUGGUCCCAAUGUGGAAUACUAACAAACUCUGCUUCAGAGAGCAUGCAGAAUCCACAACAUGGCUGUGUGGCCAACAGCCCAAGCUGUAACUCAGGUUCGGAAAAUAAGGAAUUUUAAAGGAAGAGAGGAAGAAAUGGAUGAACAAAAAUGCUCCAGGCUAUGCCUUCUAAAUUUCUGAAUUAAAACUCCCCAGGAGGUGUGAGCUGGACAAGGAGCUCAAGGCGGAGUGGGAGGGGGAGCUUCACGGGGAAGACUUACCUGCAAGCUCUCUGCUGAACAAGCAGGCAAGGUUCUAGGGAAGCCAUGGAAACCAGGAGUAAAGAUGACUCCAAAGGUCAGGUGACAGCUCCCUGGGGUGCCUGUUCCAUGACUAAAGCAGGUACAGAGAGAAGCUGCAUAGCUAGAAUUACCUUACAUC